AAAACAAGUGCUAUUUCAAUAGCCUGAUAUUUUGCUUUCCGAGUAGUGCCUUUUCAAAAGGCACUUUUUUUAUGUC
This 76-nucleotide non-coding RNA is filed under the name [Mannheimia] succiniciproducens MBEL55E. Its description in RNAcentral is "Mannheimia succiniciproducens MBEL55E Aggregatibacter sRNA 20". It matches the Rfam family "Aggregatibacter sRNA 20". From Rfam's summary of the family: Validated by RT-PCR and Northern blot. Lineage: Bacteria; Pseudomonadati; Pseudomonadota; Gammaproteobacteria; Pasteurellales; Pasteurellaceae. The record is from Rfam by way of RNAcentral.